CAAACGACUCUCGGCAACGGAUAUCUCGGCUCAUGCAUCGAUGAAGAACGUAGCGAAAUGCGAUACUUGGUGUGAAUUGCAGAAUCCCGUGAACCAUCGAGUCUUUGAACGCAAGUUGCGCCCGAAGCCAUUCGGUCGAGGGCACGUCUGCCUGGGCGUCACGC
RNAcentral lists this ribosomal RNA (164 nucleotides) under Goodenia odonnellii. Its description in RNAcentral is "5.8S ribosomal RNA". It matches the Rfam family "5.8S ribosomal RNA". Rfam says of the family: 5.8S ribosomal RNA (5.8S rRNA) is a component of the large subunit of the eukaryotic ribosome. It is transcribed by RNA polymerase I as part of the 45S precursor that also contains 18S and 28S rRNA. RNAcentral also lists the same sequence under 1 other name. The record is from RNAcentral. Lineage: Eukaryota; Viridiplantae; Streptophyta; Magnoliopsida; Asterales; Goodeniaceae.